Molecule: ribosomal RNA, 253 nt
Filed under: uncultured bacterium
Lineage: Bacteria
Description: partial 16S ribosomal RNA
Rfam family: Bacterial small subunit ribosomal RNA
Source: RNAcentral
GACGAACCGAGCGAACGUUAUUCGGAAUCACUGGGCUUAAAGGGCGCGUAGGCGGGCCGCCAAGUCAGGGGUGAAAGCCCCCAGCUCAACUGGGGAAGUGCCUUUGAUACUGGCGGUCUCGAGGGGGAUAGGGGCGUGCGGAACUUCCGGUGGAGCGGUGAAAUGCGUAGAUAUCGGAAGGAACACCGGUGGCGAAAGCGGCGCGCUGGAUCCCUUCUGACGCUGAGGCGCGAAAGCGUGGGGAGCGAACAGG